AGACCCAUGAUGAAAUUAGUACUAAAUUAGAUUACUCAGUUAGUCUCUACAUAGACUGUGGAAUUUGCCCUA
This 72-nucleotide transfer RNA is filed under the name Alisma plantago-aquatica. RNAcentral describes it as "tRNA-Ser". Lineage: Eukaryota; Viridiplantae; Streptophyta; Magnoliopsida; Alismatales; Alismataceae. RNAcentral also lists the same sequence under 5 other names. The record is from RNAcentral.